GUCCCUAAAUUCUCGGCUGGCAUGUAAUUUUGGGUGCUAUUUCAUUUUUUUUCUUUUGCUGCCUACUUUGUUUAAUUGGAAAACAUGCCAACUGAUUUCCCUUUUUUUUGCUGCUUUUCUCUUUUGUUGGCCGACUGUUUUUUUUUUCAUUAUAUAUAUUUUAUUAAUUUUGCAUUGUAUGUGUUUUAGUUUUAUUUUUGCUUUGUAAAGCCAACGGCUAUACAUUAAAAAAUGGCUAGAUUUUCUAACGGUUAAAUUCUUAAAAAUUUCUAUAUAUACUCCAUUUCAUUUUUCAUUCUUUACCCAUCUUCCCAAUAUUUUUAUCUUCUUAUUAUUUUCUUCUUGUCUUUGUUUUC
This 356-nucleotide long non-coding RNA is filed under the name Salvia miltiorrhiza (redroot sage). RNAcentral's name for it is "long non-coding RNA (SMIL_LNC011284)". Lineage: Eukaryota; Viridiplantae; Streptophyta; Magnoliopsida; Lamiales; Lamiaceae. The record is from RNAcentral.